This 67-nucleotide transfer RNA is filed under the name Orientocreadium sp. HS. Its description in RNAcentral is "tRNA-Leu". The record is from RNAcentral. Lineage: Eukaryota; Metazoa; Platyhelminthes; Trematoda; Plagiorchiida; Orientocreadiidae.
AUAUGAGUGCCAGAUUGUUUAUGGGCUGGUUUUAAGCACCAACUAAGAGAUUUAUUCUCCUCGUAUG